GAGGGUAUAGCUCAAGUGGUAGAGAGCGCGCUUAGCAUGCAUGAGGUCCUGGGUUCAAUCCUCAGUAUCUCCA
Molecule: transfer RNA, 73 nt
Filed under: Camelus bactrianus (Bactrian camel)
Lineage: Eukaryota; Metazoa; Chordata; Mammalia; Artiodactyla; Camelidae
Also listed under: 1 other name
Rfam family: tRNA
About the family: Transfer RNA (tRNA) molecules are approximately 80 nucleotides in length.
Source: Rfam by way of RNAcentral